AGCAGCCGCGGUAAUUCCAGCUCCAAUAGCGUAUAUUAAAGUUGUUGCAGUUAAAAAGCUCGUAGUUGAAUUUUGGGUCUGGCCGGGCGGUCCACCUUCCGGUGAGCACUGUUCCGACGUCGGGCCUAUCCUUCUGGUGAGACAGCAUGCCCUUCGUUGGGUGUGUUGGGGAACCAGGACCAUUACCUUGAAAAAUUAGAGUGUUCAAAGCAGGCAUUUGCUCGAAUACAUUAGCAUGGAAUAAUGAAAUAGGACGCGUGGUACUAUUUUGUUGGUUUCUAGGACCGCCGUAAUGAUUAAUAGGGAUAGUUGGGGGCAUUAGUAUUCAAUUGUCAGAGGUGAAAUUCUUGGAUUUAUUGAAGACUAACUUCUGCGAAAGCAUUUGCCAAGGAUGUUUUCAUUAAUCAAGAACGAAAGUUAGGGGAUCGAAGACGAUCAGAUACCGUCGUA
This 450-nucleotide ribosomal RNA is filed under the name uncultured Ambispora. RNAcentral describes it as "SSU rRNA". It matches the Rfam family "Eukaryotic small subunit ribosomal RNA", at positions 569 to 1022 of the family's 1831-position model. Lineage: Eukaryota; Fungi; Glomeromycota; Glomeromycetes; Archaeosporales; Ambisporaceae. The record is from RNAcentral.